CCCAUCCCACAGUCUGAGUCCAGCUGUGCCGAUCCCUGGAGGAAGCAGCACUGGGGGGGAGGGAGAGGCCCAGAGGCUGCUCAGGAGGGGUCUCCACAUCUGGGCUCCGCAGCCGAGGGAUCUCAGGCUCCAGCUCUGCACAGGAGGAGCGGUCUGAGACUCCAGAUCUUCUCAGCCCAGGGCCUCCCCGUGGGCCCAGAGGUUCUGCUGUGGAGCAGGAGCAGCUGCAGGAGGCUGGAGAGGCACUGAACCCCUGAGCCUGGUGCCAGCAGGACAGGAUCAGCUCCAGGCUUUUGAGCUGGAUGAUUUUUGGGGAAAAGAGAGCUCAGGAGCUCCUGCUGUUCUGCUGAGGAUUGCUUCCCUGAAAAAUCAGGCUGCAGGUCUCACCUCCAAUGGAUACAAGUGCUUGAGUAAGCUCAGUCAGGCAUUCUGUGAUCACAGGAGGCUGAACGGGCCUGAAACUGGUUCCAGUCCAUUCCUUUAGCUGACACUCCUGUUUCCCCCCACCCUUCCCACCAUGGAAACAUUUUUUUCCAACUCUCUUUGAUGUGAAUAAUUGAUCACCAGCUGAAAUCCUUCAUCUGGACACCCCAUCAGAGUAUUGUUCCUGCUUGGUAGAUGAGCAGGAAGAGCCCAAAUCGGGAGGAACAGCCUGAAGCAAAGCAGCUGCACAAGGAGGUUGCUGUGUCUCACUGGUGCUUGGACACUGCUCACAUCAGCUUCAUCUCAGGAACUUGCUCCUGACGGCGUGGCUUUCCUCGGCACAGCGUAUCCUGGUGACCCGCAGCUCCUUCUCCAGCGCCUUCACCUUCUGCUCCGCCUGGACCUUCUGCUCCUUGUAGGGCUCCAGCUCCUCCAGCUCUGUGUCCAGGAGCGAGGCCUCGGCCUCCGUGUCCUUCAGGGCACCCCUCACCUCCCGCUCCUUGCCAGCAUACCGUGGGGUCAGCUCCUCCUUCUGCUCCUGGAUUCGGGCCAGAUCCUGGCAGUUCUGGUGGCUGAGGGUGAUGAUCAUUUCCGGGGGGUCCUGGCUGAGCUUUGCUCCGCAGGACAGGUAGGACUGGCUCUGCUCCUGAGUGUCCUGGCCUUCCUUUUCCAGGCGUUUGUUUCCGUGCAGGAGCUGCUCUGCUCUCCCCAGGGCCUCUCCAUCCUUGCUUUUCGUUGUUUUGGAUGCCAUAUCCCAGCCAAGACGUGA
Molecule: long non-coding RNA, 1192 nt
Filed under: Parus major (Great Tit)
Lineage: Eukaryota; Metazoa; Chordata; Aves; Passeriformes; Paridae
Description: lncRNA (ENSPMJG00000013483.1)
Source: RNAcentral